This 356-nucleotide ribosomal RNA is filed under the name uncultured Glomeraceae. Its description in RNAcentral is "SSU rRNA". It matches the Rfam family "Eukaryotic small subunit ribosomal RNA", at positions 569 to 929 of the family's 1831-position model. Lineage: Eukaryota; Fungi; Glomeromycota; Glomeromycetes; Glomerales; Glomeraceae. The record is from RNAcentral.
AGCAGCCGCUGCAAUUCCAGCUCCAAUAGCGUAUAUUAAAGUCGUUGCAGUUAAAAAGCUCGUAUUUGAAUUUCGGGGUCAGUAGAUUGGUCGUGCCACUGGUAUGUACUGGUCUUACUGGCUCCUCCUUCCUGAUGAACCGUAAUGCCAUUAAUUUGGUGUUGCGGGGAAACAGGACUGUUACUUUGAAAAAAUUAGAGUGCUUAAAGCAGGCAAUCGCUUGAAUACAUUAGCAUGGAAUAAUGAAAUAGGACGUUCGAUCCUAUUUUGUUGGUUUCUAGGAUUGACGUAAUGAUUAAUAGGGAUAGUUGGGGGCAUUAGUAUUCAAUUGUCAGAGGUGAAAUUCUUGGAUUUAU